UACGUAAGGUCCGAGCGUUGUCCGGAAUCAUUGGGCGUAAAGGGUACGUAGGCGGGUAAGCAAGUUAGAAGUGAAAUCCUAUAGCUCAACUAUAGUAAGCUUUUAAAACUGCUCAUCUUGAGGUAUGGAAGGGAAAGUGGAAUUCCUAGUGUAGCGGUGAAAUGCGCAGAUAUUAGGAGGAAUACCGGUGGCGAAGGCGACUUUCUGGCCAUAACCUGACGCUGAGGUACGAAAGCGUGGGUAGCAAACAGG
This 252-nucleotide ribosomal RNA is filed under the name uncultured Anaerococcus sp. RNAcentral's name for it is "partial 16S ribosomal RNA". It matches the Rfam family "Bacterial small subunit ribosomal RNA", at positions 524 to 776 of the family's 1533-position model. The record is from RNAcentral. Lineage: Bacteria; Bacillati; Bacillota; Tissierellia; Tissierellales; Peptoniphilaceae.